CAACAACGAACACCUUCCUAUUGCAAGGUGAGGCUCUGCUCUUCCCCUAGAAUCCACACCGGGUCGGAGGAGCAACUAGUCAAACUUCUUGAGCAUCUGAGAUAUUGAACAACGAACAUUUAAAACAAUUCCUUGCCUCACCCAGAGAUGAGAGGGAAGGUCGAUUUGACUCGAAUCCUGGACCUGAUCUUGAAUCCUACACCGGUUAAUGAUGCGAUGGGGGAAGUUUUUCUUUUUUCAUCAAUGCUGGCCCAGUCGAGGCUCGUCCAUGCCCAAUCCCGAUGGGCCUUCGAUUUGCCCCUACCCUAGCUCUAUAAUCCACCCGUCUUCCCCAGUCCCUGAAAGCCCUCCGGGGGCCUAGCCCUCUUU
This 369-nucleotide long non-coding RNA is filed under the name Nicotiana benthamiana. Its description in RNAcentral is "long non-coding RNA (NBEN_LNC019354)". Lineage: Eukaryota; Viridiplantae; Streptophyta; Magnoliopsida; Solanales; Solanaceae. The record is from RNAcentral.